RNAcentral lists this ribosomal RNA (1381 nucleotides) under metagenome. RNAcentral describes it as "bacterial SSU rRNA". It matches the Rfam family "Bacterial small subunit ribosomal RNA". The record is from RNAcentral.
AGAAGUGAAGGCGAGCGGCGGACGGCAGAGUAACGCGUAGGAAUGUACCCCAAAGUGAGGGAUAACUGCUCGAAAGAGUAGCUAAUACCGCAUGUGAUCUUCGGAUUAAAGCCUUCGGGCGCUAUGGGAACAGCCUGCGUAAGAUUAGCUAGUUGGUGAGGUAAUGGCUCACCAAGGCGACGAUCUUUAGCUGGUCUGAGAGGAUGAUCAGCCUGACUGGAACUGAGACACGGUCCAGACUCCUACGGGAGGCAGCAGUAGGGAAUUUUCCACAAUGGGCGAAAGCCUGAUGGAGCAACGCCGCGUGCAGGAUGAAGGUUUUCGGAUCGUAAACUGCUUUUAUAUGUGAAGAAUAUGACGGUAACAUAUGAAUAAGGGUCGGCUAACUACGUGCCAGCAGCCGCGGUCAUACGUAGGACCCAAGCGUUAUUCGGAAUUACUGGGCGUAAAGAGUUGCGUAGGUGGCAUAUUAAGCGGGUAGUGAAAUCGUGUGGCUCAACCAUACAAACAUUAUCUGAACUGGUAAGCUAGAGUAUGAUAGAGGUAACUGGAAUUCCAAGUGUAGGAGUGAAAUCCGUAGAUAUUUGGAGGAACACCGAUGGCGUAGGCAGGUUACUGGAUCAUUACUGACACUGAGGCACGAAAGCGUGGGGAGCAAACGGGAUUAGAUACCCCGGUAGUCCACGCCCUAAACUAUGGGUGCUAGCUGUUUGAGGUAUCGACCCCUUAAGUAGCGAAGCUAACGCGUUAAGCAUCCCGCCUGUGGAGUACGAGCGCAAGCUUAAAACAUAAAGGAAUUGACGGGGACCCGCACAAGCGGUGGAGCGUGUUGUUUAAUUCGAUGGUAAGCGAAGAACCUUACCCAGGCUUGAAAUCCUUGUCGUCGUUCUACGAAAGUAGAAUUUCAUUUAGUUGGACAAGUGACAGGUGUUGCAUGGCCGUCGUCAGCUCGUGUCGUGAGAUGUUAGGUUAAGUCCUUCAACGAGCGCAACCCUUGUAAGUAGUUGAAUUUUUCUACUUAGACUGCCCUGGUAACAGGGAGGAAGGAGGGGAUGAUGUCAGGUCAGUAUUACCCUUACGUCUGGGGCUACAAACACGCUACAAUGGCCGGUACAAAGGGCUGCCAACCCGCGAGGGGGAGCAAAUCCUAUCAAAGCCGGUCUCAGUUCGGAUAGCAGGCUGAAACUCGCCUGCUUGAAGCUGGAAUCGCUAGUAACGGUAGGUCAGCACACUACCGUGAAUACGUUCCCGGGUCUUGUACACACCGCCCGUCAAACCAUGAAAGUCACCAAUAUCUGACGUCCAGCUUUUUGCUGGCCUAAGGUAGGGGGGAUGAUUGGGGUUAAGUCGGAACAAGGUAUCCGUACCGUAGGUGCGGAUG